UUGUCCUUCGGGACACAUUCAAAAUUGGAACGAUACAGAGAAGAUUAGCAUGGUCCCUGCACAAGGAUGACACACUUCGUCUUCUGAGGAAGCUCUUCGGAGCAAAUUUUU
Small nuclear RNA from Allomyces macrogynus ATCC 38327, 111 nucleotides. Lineage: Eukaryota; Fungi; Blastocladiomycota; Blastocladiomycetes; Blastocladiales; Blastocladiaceae. The record is from Rfam.